GCCUGGGUGGCUCAGUCGGUUAAGCAUCUGACUUAGGCUCAGGUCAUGAUCUUGCGGUCCGUGGGUUCAAGCCCCGCGUUGGGCU
This 85-nucleotide transfer RNA is filed under the name Felis catus (domestic cat). It matches the Rfam family "tRNA". From Rfam's summary of the family: Transfer RNA (tRNA) molecules are approximately 80 nucleotides in length. Their secondary structure includes four short double-helical elements and three loops (D, anti-codon, and T loops). Further hydrogen bonds mediate the characteristic L-shaped molecular structure. tRNAs have two regions of fundamental functional importance: the anti-codon, which is responsible for specific mRNA codon recognition, and the 3' end, to which the tRNAs corresponding amino acid is attached (by aminoacyl-tRNA synthetases). tRNAs cope with the degeneracy of the genetic code in two manners: having more than one tRNA (with a specific anti-codon) for a particular amino acid; and 'wobble' base-pairing, i.e. permitting non-standard base-pairing at the 3rd anti-codon position. Lineage: Eukaryota; Metazoa; Chordata; Mammalia; Carnivora; Felidae. The record is from Rfam by way of RNAcentral.